CUUAACACAUGCAAGUCGAGGGGCAGCAUUUUAGUUUGCUUGCAAACUGAAGAUGGCGACCGGCGCACGGGUGAGUAACACGUAUCCAACCUGCCGAUAACUCCGGGAUAGCCUUUCGAAAGAAAGAUUAAUACCGGAUAGCAUACGAAUAUCGCAUGAUAUUUUUAUUAAAGAAUUUCGGUUAUCGAUGGGGAUGCGUUCCAUUAGUUUGUUGGCGGGGUAACGGCCCACCAAGACUACGAUGGAUAGGGGUUCUGAGAGGAAGGUCCCCCACAUUGGAACUGAGACACGGUCCAAACUCCUACGGGAGGCAGCAGUGAGGAAUAUUGGUCAAUGGGCGCGAGCCUGAACCAGCCAAGUAGCGUGAAGGAUGAAGGCUCUAUGGGUCGUAAACUUCUUUUAUAUGGGAAUAAAGUUUUCCACGUGUGGAAUUUUGUAUGUACCAUAUGAAUAAGGAUCGGCUAACUCCGUGCCAGCAGCCGCGGUAAUACGGAGGAUCCGAGCGUUAUCCGGAUUUAUUGGGUUUAAAGGGAGCGUAGGUGGAUUGUUAAGUCAGUUGUGAAAGUUUGCGGCUCAACCGUAAAAUUGCAGUUGAAACUGGCAGUCUUGAGUACAGUAGAGGUGGGCGGAAUUCGUGGUGUAGCGGUGGAAUGCUUAGAUAUCACGAAGAACUCCGAUUGCGAAGGCAGCUCACUAGACUGUCACUGACACUGAUGCUCGAAAGUGUGGGUAUCAAACAGGAUUAGAUACCCUGGUAGUCCACACAGUAAACGAUGAAUACUCGCUGUUUGCGAUAUACAGUAAGCGGCCAAGCGAAAGCAUUAAGUAUUCCACCUGGGGAGUACGCCGGCAACGGUGAAACUCAAAGGAAUUGACGGGGGCCCGCACAAGCGGAGGAACAUGUGGUUUAAUUCGAUGAUACGCGAGGAACCUUACCCGGGCUUAAAUUGCAACAGAAUAUAUUGGAAACAGUAUAGCCGUAAGGCUGUUGUGAAGGUGCUGCAUGGUUGUCGUCAGCUCGUGCCGUGAGGUGUCGGCUUAAGUGCCAUAACGAGCGCAACCCUUAUCUUUAGUUACUAACAGGUCAUGCUGAGGACUCUAGAGAGACUGCCGUCGUAAGAUGUGAGGAAGGUGGGGAUGACGUCAAAUCAGCACGGCCCUUACGUCCGGGGCUACACACGUGUUACAAUGGGGGGUACAGAAGGCGGCUACCUGGUGACAGGAUGCUAAUCCCAAAAACCUCUCUCAGUUCGGAUCGAAGUCUGCAACCCGACUUCGUGAAGCUGGAUUCGCUAGUAAUCGCGCAUCAGCCAUGGCGCGGUGAAUACGUUCCCGGGCCUUGUACACACCGCCCGUCAAGCCAUGAAAGCCGGGGGUACCUGAAGUACGUAACCGCAAGGAGCGUCCUAGGGUAAAACUGGUAAUUGGGGCUAAG
Molecule: ribosomal RNA, 1435 nt
Filed under: uncultured organism
Description: SSU rRNA
Rfam family: Bacterial small subunit ribosomal RNA
Source: RNAcentral